CCCUUAGAUGGUCUGGGCGGCACGCGCGCUACAAUGAUGCAUUCAAAAAGUCUUCUGACCUUAGAAGGUUGGGUAUUCUCCAAAGUGCAUCGUGAUGGGAAUAGUUUAUUGCAAUUUUUAAUCUUGAACGAGGAAUUCCUAGUAAGUACAGGUCAUCAACUUGUGUUGAUUACGUCCCUGCCCUUUGUACACACCGCCCGUCGCUCCUACUGAUUGAGUGUCUCUGUGAAUUCUUUGAUCUUCUGUCGAUUCAGUUCACUGAUCCGACGGUGGAAAGUUGAAUGAACUUCGUCACUUAGAGGAAGGAGAAGUCGUAACAA
Molecule: ribosomal RNA, 320 nt
Filed under: uncultured eukaryote
Lineage: Eukaryota
Description: partial 18S ribosomal RNA
Rfam family: Eukaryotic small subunit ribosomal RNA
Source: RNAcentral